This 125-nucleotide non-coding RNA is filed under the name Cercocebus atys (sooty mangabey). Lineage: Eukaryota; Metazoa; Chordata; Mammalia; Primates; Cercopithecidae. The record is from RNAcentral.
GUGUUGUACGGAAGGAGAGAGGUUGGCAUUCCCCUUGACAAGGAUGAAAGAGGCCCUCGGGCCUGACAACAAGCAUUUAGUUAAGGCAUUGCCACCUACUUCGUGGCAUCUAACCAUUAUUUAAA